CGAAACCACGGGACGCAGCAGUAGGGAAUAUUGCUCAAUGGGGGAAACCCUGAAGCAGCAACGCCGCGUGGAGGAUUGAGGUUUUCGGAUUGUAAACUCCUUUUGUUAGAGAAGAUAAUGACGGUAUCUAACGAAUAAGCACCGGCUAACUCCGUGCCAGCAGCCGCGGUAAUACGGAGGGUGCAAGCGUUACUCGGAAUCACUGGGCGUAAAGAGCGCGUAGGCGGGAUAGCAAGUCAGAUGUGAAAUCCUAUGGCUUAACCAUAGAACUGCAUUUGAAACUGUUAUUCUAGAGUAUGGGAGAG
This 305-nucleotide ribosomal RNA is filed under the name uncultured bacterium. RNAcentral describes it as "bacterial SSU rRNA". It matches the Rfam family "Bacterial small subunit ribosomal RNA", at positions 333 to 656 of the family's 1533-position model. The record is from RNAcentral.